AACGAACGCUGGCGGCAUGCCUAACACAUGCAAGUCGAACGAGACCUUCGGGUCUAGUGGCGCACGGGUGCGUAACGCGUGGGAACCUGCCCUUAGGUUCGGAAUAACUCCCCGAAAGGGGUGCUAAUACAGGAUAAUGUCUUCGGACCAAAGAUUUAUCGCCUUUGGAUGGGCCCGCGUUGGAUUAGCUAGUUGGUAGGGUAAAAGCCUACCAAGGCGACGAUCCAUAGCUGGUCUGAGAGGAUGAUCAGCCACACUGGGACUGAGACACGGCCCAGACUCCGACGGGAGGCAGCAGUGGGGAAUAUUGGACAAUGGGCGAAAGCCUGAUCCAGCAAUGCCGCGUGAGUGAUGAAGGCCUUAGGGUUGUAAAGCUCUUUUACCCGGGAUGAUAAUGACAGUACCGGGAGAAUAAGCGCCGGCUAACUCCGUG
Molecule: ribosomal RNA, 433 nt
Filed under: uncultured bacterium
Lineage: Bacteria
Description: partial 16S ribosomal RNA
Rfam family: Bacterial small subunit ribosomal RNA
Source: RNAcentral